CCCCCCCUCGAGGUCAUGUGGAGCGAAAUAAAGUAGUGAAGCGUGUGAGCCAUGUGCCGAGAAAAGCUGCUAUUGUGUAAUGCGUGCCCGUACCGUAAACCGACACAGGUGGAUGAGGAGAGAAUCCUAAGGCCGACGGAAGAAGCAUUGUUAAGGAAUUCGGCAAAAUGACCCCGUAACUUCGGGAGAAGGGGUGCCUGCGAGAGCAGGCCGCAGAGAAUAGGCUCAAGCAACUGUUUAGCAAAAACACAGGUCUAUGCGAAACCGAAAGGUGAGGUAUAUGGGCUGACGCCUGCCCGGUGCUGGAAGGUUAAGAGGAGAGGUUAGCGCAAGCGAAGCUUUGAAUUUAAGCCCCAGUAAACGGCGGCCGUAACUAUAACGGUCCUAAGGUAGCGAAAUUCCUUGUCGGGUAAGUUCCGACCCGCACGAAAGGCGUAAUGAUUUGAGCGCUGUCUCGACAAUGCAUCCGGUGAAAUUGAAGUACCAGUGAAGAUGCUGGUUACCUGCGCCAGGACGGAAAGACCCCAUGGAGCUUUACUCCAGUUUGAUACUGGGAUUCGGCAUGGUAUGUACAGGAUAGGUGGGAGACUGAGAAGGUAUGACGUCAGUUGUACCGGAGUCGCUGUUGGGAUACCACCCUUACCAUGUUGGAUUUCUAACCUGUGGCCGUAAGCCGGUCAGGGGACAAUGUCAGGCGGGGAGUUUGACUGGGGCGGUCGCCUCCGAAAGGGUAUCGGAGGCGCUCAAAGGUUCCCUCAGAAUGGUUGGAAACCAUUCGAAGAGUGCAAAGGCAGAAGGGAGCUUGACUGCGACACCGACGGGUGGAGCAGGUACGAAAGUAGGACUUAGUGAUCCGGUGGUAUAAAGUGGGAUUGCCAUCGCUCAACGGAUAAAAGCUACCCUGGGGAUAACAGGCUUAUCACUCCCAAGAGUUCACAUCGACGGAGUGGUUUGGCACCUCGAUGUCGGCUCAUCGCAUCCUGGGGCUGUAGUAGGUCCCAAG
RNAcentral lists this ribosomal RNA (1003 nucleotides) under human gut metagenome. RNAcentral describes it as "bacterial LSU rRNA". It matches the Rfam family "Bacterial large subunit ribosomal RNA", at positions 1541 to 2569 of the family's 2925-position model. The record is from RNAcentral.